Molecule: ribosomal RNA, 216 nt
Filed under: Glomeromycotina sp.
Lineage: Eukaryota; Fungi; Glomeromycota
Description: partial small subunit ribosomal RNA
Rfam family: Eukaryotic small subunit ribosomal RNA (bases 87-216)
Source: RNAcentral
GGGUCAGUAGGUUGGUCGUGCCACCGGUACGUACUGGUCUCACUGAUUCCUCCUUCCUGAGGAACCGUAAUGCCACUAAUUUGGUGUUGCGGGGAAACAGGACUGUUACUUUGAAAAAAUUAGAGUGUUUAAAGCAAGCUAACGCUUGAAUACAUUAGCAUGGAAUAAUGAAAUAGGACGAUCGAUCCUAUUUUGUUGGUUUCUAGGAUUGACGUA